UACGAAGGGGGCUAGCGUUGUUCGGAAUUACUGGGCGUAAAGGGCGCGUAGGCUGUGCUGUAAGUCAGGCGUGAAAGGCCCGGGCUCAACCUGGGAACUGCGUUUGAUACUGCGGCGCUGGAAUGCAGGAGAGGAUGGCGGAAUUCCCAGUGUAGAGGUGAAAUUCGUAGAUAUUGGGAAGAACACCGGUGGCGAAGGCGGCCAUCUGGCCUGCAAUUGACGCUGAGAAGCGAAAGCAUGGGGAGCGAACAGG
RNAcentral lists this ribosomal RNA (253 nucleotides) under uncultured bacterium. RNAcentral's name for it is "partial 16S ribosomal RNA". It matches the Rfam family "Bacterial small subunit ribosomal RNA", at positions 524 to 776 of the family's 1533-position model. The record is from RNAcentral.